AUGAACGUCCGUGUGCGAGUGCUCGACACGACCCAUGUCCGGCCGGAGCUGCCUGGGCACGCCGCCACCAUCAACCUCUCGCCCUUCGACACCCUGUUCCUCGCGCUCCCCCCGAUCCAGCGGAUCUUCUUCUACGACGACGACGGCGCGCCGAGCGUCCCGCCGUUCCCGGCCAUCAUCCGAUCGCUGCAGGCCUCCCUCGCCGCCACGCUCUCCGUCUUCGCCCCGCUUGCCGGCAGGCUCGCGGCCUGCCCCGGUGGAGACCUCGUCGUCGACUGCUCCCCUGAUGCUCUCCGCCACGGCGUCAGGUUCGUCCAGGCGGAGUACUCCGGCGACGCGGCCGACGUGCGCCGGCUGGCGCGGGACGCCGAGCACGACACCGAGGCGUUCGUGCAGCUCGUACCGGAGCUCGAGGUGGGCAGGCUGCCGGCGCCCCUGCUCGCCGUCCAGCUCACGCGGCCGGCGUUGUCGGGGGGAGACGACCAGCGUGGCCCAGGCGCCGUGGUGGUCGGGGUCUCGAUGCACCACGCCGUUGCCGACGGGCAGUCGCUGUUUCAGUUCAUGCGCGCGUGGGCCGCCGCGUCACGGGAGGGCUCGCCGGCAGCGGCGGGGCUCGUGCCGCCCCCGACGUUUGACCGGGCAGGGAUCAUGCGGCAUCCCAAAGCAGAGGCAGCGGCGCGGAACUUCGCUCGCCUCUGCGCACCGGAUCUGCCCAUGGUGAACACGUGUUCGGAGCUGGACUGGACGCGGCAGAGCCGGAGGACCUACCUGCUCGACGCCGGCCAAAUCCAGUCGCUGAAGCGGCGCAUCGUGCAACAACGCCAAGCCGCCGGCACGGACGACGACAACCAGCCGCCACCGAGCACCUACGUGGCCGUCGCGUCGCUGCUGUGGACGUCCAUGGCCCGCGCCAAGCACCCGGAUGACGCAGACAACGCCGGCGACGACGGCGCAUACCUCCUGUUCCCCGCGGACUGCCGCUGCCGCCUGCGCCCGCCUCUGGAUCCGGGCUUCUUCGGCAACUGCGUCAAGCUCUGCUUCGCGCGCGCCACGGCGAGCAAGCUUGGGUGGCGCGACAACGACGACGACGGCGCGCUCGCGCACGCGGCGGGGGCGCUGCAGCGGGCGAUCCGCGAGCAGGUCGAGGAGAAGGACCCGCUGGGCGACGCCGACCGGUGGGCGGAGACCUACCAGGGGAUCCCGCCGGAGAGGCGCUCGCAGCAGGGGUCGUCGCACCGGUUCAUGGCGUACGAGGUGGACUUCGGGUGGGGGCAGCCGAGCCGAGCGGAGAUCGUGUCGAUGUUCAGUCCGGAGGUGGCGAUGCUCGUCGGCGGGCCGCAUGGCGCGGUGCAGGUGUCCGUGGCGCUUGGCCGGGAUCUCAUCGAUGGCUUCGAGGUUUGCUUCCGCUCGCUGCUUUCAGCAUGA
RNAcentral lists this ribosomal RNA (1425 nucleotides) under Triticum aestivum (bread wheat). RNAcentral describes it as "partial small subunit ribosomal RNA". Lineage: Eukaryota; Viridiplantae; Streptophyta; Magnoliopsida; Poales; Poaceae. The record is from RNAcentral.